GAUGAACGCUGGCGGCGUGCCUAAUACAUGCAAGUCGAGCGAACAGAUAAGGAGCUUGCUCCUUUGACGUUAGCGGCGGACGGGUGAGUAACACGUGGGUAACCUACCUAUAAGACUGGAAUAACUCCGGGAAACCGGGGCUAAUGCCGGAUAACAUUUAGAACCGCAUGGUUCUAAAGUGAAAGAUGGUUUUGCUAUCACUUAUAGAUGGACCCGCGCCGUAUUAGCUAGUUGGUAAGGUAACGGCUUACCAAGGCAACGAUACGUAGCCGACCUGAGAGGGUGAUCGGCCACACUGGAACUGAGACACGCUCCAGACUCCUAAGGGAGGCAGCAGUAGGGAAUCUUCCGCAAUGGGCGAAAGCAUGACGGAGCAACGCCGCGUGAGUGAUGAAGGUCUUCGGAUCGUAAAACUCUGUUAUUAGGGAAGAACAAAUGUGUAAGUAACUGUGCACGUCUUGACGGUACCUAAUCAGAAAGCCACGGCUAACUACGUG
This 497-nucleotide ribosomal RNA is filed under the name uncultured bacterium. RNAcentral describes it as "partial 16S ribosomal RNA". It matches the Rfam family "Bacterial small subunit ribosomal RNA", at positions 28 to 507 of the family's 1533-position model. The record is from RNAcentral.